AUUGAUACUGCCUUGCUGGAAUGCGGAUGCCGUGGGAGGAAUGUGUGGUGUAGCGGUGAAAUGCAUAGAUAUCACACAGAACACCGAUUGCGAAGGCAUCUCACGAAUCCGCGAUUGACGCUGAUGCACGAAAGCGUGGGUAUCAAACAGGAUUAGAUACCCUGGUAGUCCACGCUGUAAACGAUGAUGACUAACCGUCGGCGAUACACAGUCGGUGGCCAAGCGAAAGCGAUAAGUCAUCCACCUGGGGAGUACGGCCGCAAGGCUGAAACUCAAAGGAAUUGACGGGGGCCCGCACAAGCGGAGGAACAUGUGGUUUAAUUCGAUGAUACGCGAGGAACCUUACCCGGGCUCGAACGGCAGCUGAAUAUUCCAGAGAUGGGAUAGUCUUCGGACAGUUGUCGAGGUGCUGCAUGGUUGUCGUCAGCUCGUGCUGUGAAGUGUCGGCUUAAGUGCCAUAACGAGCGCAACCCUUGCCUUCAGUUGCCAUCAGGUUAAGCUGGGGACUCUGGAGGGACUGCCACCGCAAGGUGCGAGGAAGGGGGGGAUGACGUCAAAUCAGCACGGCCCUUACGUCCGGGGCGACACACGUGUUACAAUGGCAGGUACAGAGGGGUGCUACCGGGUGACCGGAUGCCGAUCUCGAAAACCUGUCCCAGUUCGGACUGGAGUCUGCAACCCGACUCCACGAAGUUGGAUUCGCUAGUAAUCGCGCAUCAGCCAUGGCGCGGUGAAUACGUUCCCGGGCCUUGCACACACCGCCCGUCAAG
This 770-nucleotide ribosomal RNA is filed under the name uncultured bacterium. Its description in RNAcentral is "bacterial SSU rRNA". It matches the Rfam family "Bacterial small subunit ribosomal RNA", at positions 626 to 1401 of the family's 1533-position model. The record is from RNAcentral.